Molecule: non-coding RNA, 21 nt
Filed under: Caenorhabditis elegans
Lineage: Eukaryota; Metazoa; Nematoda; Chromadorea; Rhabditida; Rhabditidae
Source: RNAcentral
GAAGAAAUCCGAGUCCUCGAC